This 21009-nucleotide long non-coding RNA is filed under the name Gallus gallus (chicken). Its description in RNAcentral is "lncRNA (ENSGALG00010025335.1)". The stretch from base 9766 to 9837 matches the Rfam family "mir-133 microRNA precursor family". Lineage: Eukaryota; Metazoa; Chordata; Aves; Galliformes; Phasianidae. The record is from RNAcentral.
AAUACGAAUUCCAAGGGUAAUUAAAAUGAAUAAACCAUCAGAUUUGGUAAAAUCAUGCAGCUGAGAGAAGUUUGCUCUCCACUGCAUUUCUGCCUCUUUGCAUUUCAUCCUCAGCACAAAGGGAGCUAGAUUCCAAGGCUCUGAGCGAGUCGUUUGUGCUUCUGCAAAAAAAUAUUACCCACAGAAAGUGGCAAACCCCGUGGGAUCUAUGCUGAGAACCACAAGGAAGAGAGGAAAGCAGCUGUGCUGCUCUGCUGGGGGGAGUACAGAGUGUGGGGCUCAUUUGGGUGCUCCCUGUGCAGGGGGUGAAACCAAGCAGGACAGAAGUGGGUGGUGUACAUUUGCUGUACUCAAUAAUUGGCAACGAUUUUUGGAAGGAGAUUGGGGGUGAAAUUAACAGAUUUGGGGCACGACCAAAUCUGUUCUCCAUUUUGUGUCCUUGUUGAGUCUCUCAGUGCAGGCACAACACAGUGCUCUUUGCAACACCCUGGUGACCCCUAGAUGAGACUUGGAAGACCACUUCUUUGCACUGGCACUCCAGACAUCAUGGCCAAGUGCCCCCAGCAAUGUGGGGCUGUAUGCCAGUGGGUCACGAAAGGAUGGAGACCACCAGCUUGGAGGGUCUGGGAAUGAAGCCUUUAAUUCAGGGGUGGACACUGAGGCAGUCCCAAUGGCUUGCAGCAUGGGCUGGAAGAACAGGAUGAUUAAUGAGAGCAAUGGCACGAAGGAGCCAGGAACUAAGUAAUGAGACCUUUAUUUGAUACAUAAUACAGCCGGGGCCCUCUAUAAAGAGAAUACCAAGAGUAGGGCUAAGUUUCACAGUUCUGGGAAUGUAUCAGGAAGGGGGAAAGCUUUGCUGACUUUGCAGCCAAACGCCUGGGCCAUCCGCAAGUGUUGUUCGCAGUGAGCUUGGGACAUGUUAAUUUGGUCAUAUAUCUUCAGAUGGUGGCAAGAUGCCCUGACUUUUGAUUUACUGUGCUGAGUGGGUCUGUGUGAUGUUGUGGGUUUAAAAUGAGGUGUCCAGAGCCUGAUUCAGUCACAGGAUCACUGAAUUCCAGCUGGGAGAUGAAGAAGCCGUUAUACACACACAACAAGAACUUCCAGCCAAAAAUUACUUAUGGUUUCAAUUAAAGGAGAAGAAGUUGCUGAUUGUUUAGGUAUGGAUGUCAGAAACACAGCAGUUAACAGCAGAGAUGAAUGAGAGAUAGUGAGGUGAUAACUUAGAUAAAUUGGUAUCUCAUCCAUAUUAAGGAGACAGCUCAUCCUCUGGUGCUGCUGGAUGACAUGAAGAGUGGAGUGUAUAUGGAUACUAAAAAACGUUGGUCUUAAAGUUAAAUCCCCAAGAACCAUCAGAAAUAAGUCUCAGAAGCCAAAGUGAGAUCUGAUGCACGCUGCAAAAAUAUGCAGUCUGUCAGGGAACGCUGCUCUCUCCAUAUAACUUCCACCGUUUGUGGGACAAUUAUAGAGAAAAUGAUACUGUGAUCUGUAAAGCAGUUCCUGCAGUGGUUUUAUUCACUAACUCGAUGCCACGCAUAAUCAUAGCCAGUAACAUCUCCAGAGGUGUGUGCAUAAUAGAGAGACAUCAAGUCAAUGAGUCAAAACAUCAGAAAAUAAAAUUCAGAUGAACAUCACUUGCAGAAAUUCUAUCAUCUGUCAUUUAACGCUGUCUGAAGACCUCCACGUUGAAAUAAGGCGUGGAAACCAGAAGUUACCCCAGGCAGCAGUCCUUAGGACCUGCACGGACUCAGGGCUUUCUGCAAGUUGGGUUGAGUGCCAAAGAAGUUCUCUUGCGAUCUUAAAACUCAAGCACCCAAAAAACACCAUAGAGGGGAAGGCAGGGAGCAGGGAGGAUCUGUCCUGCCGUGUCCCCACCUCAGAUCCUGCCCAGCAUCACCCAAGCAGCCGCUGCUGGGAGCGGAGUUGCUCCUGGAUCACCUUAAGGCUAUUUGCAGCUCUUGCUGAUGCCCUUUCAAUACCCAAUCCCGAAACUUUUCAUGCGAGGAAGCUUGCAGGAUGACAGAUUGCACCUUAAAACAAAGAGGUAAUAGCUCUUAGGUCCAGAUCUGUUCUUGGAACUAAAUUCACUGCAGAAGAAGUGUUUCUGCACAACUGCAUAAUGCCUCAAAGUGGCAUUUUACAAUCUUUAAAUUCCAACACCGAUGAAGAAUUCUGCUUUAAACUACUGCAGCAGCCCAGCCCCCCUUUAUUUAUGAGUAAUAGGCUUUUCAUUUAGAUUUAACUACAGAUUCGAGUGGUUUCCAUGUGCCAGGGCUCGGAGUCACACCAGUGUCUCCUGAGGUGGCCGUGCUGUUUCCACAGAGUCACUCAGGAUCCCCACCAAACCUGUCUUUGCAUACAUACGUGUGUAUUUUAUAUAGAUGUACACAUGCACUUCAUUUUUAAAAAGACAAAGUUUUUAUUCCAGGCUUCAUUUUCCUUUAAACCGUAUGAAGCCAAAGUUCGAAAGGAUGACCCCAAAAUUGCCAGUUUGAUUGUAAUUUCCCCCAAAAGAUUUUGGGUUGUAGGUACAUAGAGAACGAUGGCUUUGCUUCCCCCUUUCUGCUCAUCAUCCCAUGCAACGCUGAUGUGCCAGGAAGCGUGGAUGGGAUCAGGGAGCUUGGUGAGUUUGCCACAUCAGUAGUCACUGAGAGUGCCUGAAGUUUCAUUUUUCAAUGGAAAGCUGCAGUGAAACGAGUAUUUUGCUACUCAUCUUGUUAUUAUUCAUCAGUGCUUCCAAGCACCUCUCAGCCCUUUGUUUCUUGGGAAAGGCAUGGUGCUUAAAGGGGCUGAAAGGUGGAUUUUGUGGAAAGCCCAACCCACAUCUUUGAUCCCAGCGGUUUUGUAAAGCAUUCGUUUUGCUCGCUGGGAAAAUCUCUGCCCUCCCCACUCCCUCACCUCCCCCUCUUUCCCCUCCACCUAAGUUACCUCGUCUGGAUCCGAAGGAACGCUUGCCAUCCUUUGAAGAGGUAGUCUCGUCCGAAAAAUCAAUAGUCAACAUUGUCUUUAAAUAGUCUGACAUUUACCUUUACAGCAGUUUUCAUUUCUUUCCCAGAUUGCUCAGACGUUUGUAUUACCCACACACUACAUCCCUGAUCUCUCGGCCGGGAGCUUUGCACGGAUGCAGCCCCGGUGCUGCAGAGCGGCCACCAGCAAGGAACUGCAGCACGAUAAUUAACAGGACGGGAGCUCACUAAUAGAAGCAUCUUUAACUAAUUUAUGGAAGACAUCAGGUGAGAAUAAUUACAAGCAGAAGGGUAUUGUAAAUCCCUGAAGAAAAUACACUUGGAAUGCAGUUUUCCCAACAAGCAAAUCUGAAUGCUAGCCCAAAGGUCAGAAAUAAAAAGGCUGAGAGCUUCAGCUCCCCGAGCAGGCACCUCUCCGAUCCCUUCUUGUCAAGAAAUUGUCUGGGGGUUCAUUUAGAAAGCUGCUUGUUCAGGGCAGGGCCAUUUGCAAUCUGGGAAAGUUAAGCAAAUUAGCAGAAUUAUUAGGUAAGAGGCAAUUCUCCACAGCCUGCAAGGCAACCGCUUGUUAAAUGAGCUCACACCAGAGAGUUGCACUGAUCGAGUGGUGUUUGCAGAGACGGGGCUGUGCAGGCAUUUGCUCUGAAAUAAUACUGCUGUAUUCCCCUGGAAAAAUUAAAAAAAAAUGGGAAUUUGUGCAGGCUGAGCUGGAAGAUGCCUCUGUCUUCCAUACGCAUUCCUGCUUCUCUGCUCCUUCUGCUAUAAUAAAUAUCAUAAUCCUAGCAAAUGAGAGAAGGAGAUUAACCCGACACCUUUAACCCAGUUACUGCUUAAAAUAGGGAGCAGUGUGGUGCCACGAGGCCCCAAAGCAGGUGGCUCUGCACCCGCUGUCCCCUGGGGCUCAUAGGGACAGCUGUGCACUGCAGCCCCGCUGCUCUGUGCAGUGUUGGGAGUGGGAUCCAACUCAGGUCCUGCAAGGAGCCCACCCAAGGGUGGCUCACACUGCUCACUUGUUUUUAUAUACUCUUUGCCUAUUGAUUUGAUAUUUUUAUACCUUAUACAGUGCACUUAGCACAGAAAAAAAAAAAUGGAUUAACCAAGUAAAUGUGCUUUAUUAGCGGAUCUCUGAUGGAGAAUGAUGUCGGUUUUCCAUUUAAAAGAUGCAUCGGAUUCAUCCACUCAUGAAUCAAUUAGUUCAUGCUUGAGGACCUCCUAACAUGCCACAUAAAAAACUCCCAAUGUCAAACUGCACGCUGGGUGGAACAACCAAGGGUUUCAAAUGAAAAAAGUGCAUCACUGGGAAACCUUUGGCUCUUCCACCACCACUAGGAUGGAAGCACUCUGCCCAACUCUUAGUUAACACAUUCUUUCUGUUCCUUGGUUUCUUAAAAUCUUUCUUUUUUUCAAGUUUUUAUUGACAGCUUUACACUCCUCCCUCUGCUAUACAAUGGAGACGGGCACAUAUCGUAAGCCUUUCCAAUGGUAGUUUUGGGGUCAGGCUGAUUAGAUUUGGGAAGUGUCAAUUGUUGAAUGCUGUCCUCCUUCUGUCUGAGACUAACAACUCUCCCUACUCAGAGGGUUGGCCCUCUUUCUGUCCUUCCUGAGGUUUAGGGCUCAUUGGUCCAUGCUCCACACCAUGAAAAGGCACAUACACUUUCCUAGUGAUUCACAUUUCUGCUUAGAUAAGAACCAACAGGCUCCAUCCCACCCUGGAGCCCCUGGGACUAUGUGGAAGGUCGCAGUGUUUAUUUUUGGUCUUGUCCAAUUAAAGACAAUGACCUGGAGUAGAUGAGAUGCCUGGGCAUGCAUUCAUAUCACAGGCAUAAUGCAAGAACCGUAGGCAUUUAAAUGGGAAUUCUUUCUCACCCGGUUAGACCGAUGCGUAAGGAAAUAAUCCAAGUGGGGCAUUGACAAGAUAUUUUUUGUUGUAAGUCUGCAUGCUAAAACCCCUAAAUAAAAGGAUUUUACUCCUUGAGAGAAAGAGGAAAGGCUAUGCACACCCAGCCUGAGGUGUCACUACAACUCAAUGGGAGCAAUGCACGAGCACUGAGCUGCUGGGAUGGCUGCCUGCACAUUGGGUGCCCACACUAUGUACAGAGCAGAGGGCACUGCUUAAACCUCAGUCAAAUAAGUAAACAUGGACAAGGAAGUAAAAACAGACGCACUUUUUUCUCAUUGCUGCGAAGAAUUCAGGCCAUGCAAGCACCAGGGCUGUGCAAAGAAGAGCAACUAUGUUUAAGAGCAUCCUUCUCUCUCUUGGAUGUACAUCCAACAGCAGAUAACAUCACCCAGCCCUUUCUGCUUUUGGAAACCAUGUGCAGCACAACUUGCUGCUCACAUUUAAUCCAAACUGAUGUCCUACGGCUGUCAUAUGCAUGAUUAUGGCAGUCGUUUUUAAUUAGUGAUUGUGUCAAUAGUAUUGACAUUUUCAUCACUUUUGGGGGAAGUAGAGAAUAUUUUCCAGCAGGUGAAGUCCCCUCUUUGCAGUUCUCUUCCCCUCCAGCUGCACCUACUGGAUAAAUGAGCUAUGCAUCUUAUUAAAAAGAAAGCAAGAGCAUUAAGUCUGUUCUCUGCUUAAGUACAUUACAGCAACUUAGGCAACACGAAACUCAAGAAAGGCAGAAAAGCAAAUACCCUCUGUCCUAUGGCAAGAUUUACAAUCUUGUUCUGAGUGCAAUAUUUAUUAUACGGCUUAACAGAAGCUCUGGCAGGAUGGGGGAAAUGCUGGCGGCCCCGUGACAAGGAGGAGGCGUUCAAUAGCUUGCUGGGAAGUGGAGUUGGACACGAACUGAUCAACCAGCCAUUACACUCAGUGAUAAACACCCUGCAGGAGCCAUCAUUCACCCAGGAAGAAAGAGGAAGGCAGAUCAUUACAUUUAUUGGUCAUAGUUUUUAAAGAGUCAAUAAAGACCCACUAGAAAAGACACGGUUAGGAGCAGGAAUAUAUAUAUUUUUUUCAUGUAUCUUGAAAAUACCUUCAGCUCAGUUUGCUUUCUGCCCAAUACGUCAGGGUGAAUCUUCAUCCUAGGUGAUGGUCCCAGUGUAGACGGUGCUCAUAUUGUACAGUUUUUAAUGUCUUUAACCAUCUUUAGCUUUGUACCCUGAUAGCCCCUCCAGGCUAUAUGUCAAUGCCAUCUGGGAGUAAAAGAAGAGACUUCUGCUCAAGUAACGCUGUAAUGUAGAUCUCUCGACUAAAAUUGCACUUCCUUCACUUGACAAACUGUCAGCACAGAACAAUUAUCUGCCUGUUGGUUUGCUUGUCUUUUCUUUUUUUCUCCUCUCAGAAAAAAGAAAAAAAAAGAAAAAAGAAGAAGAAAAAAAAAACCAUACAAAGGAAAAGGACCUGCAGAGUAAAAUGCCGUGGGCAAAAUCCACAUAAUCUGAUUGCUGCGCCCAGAGAUGCAUUGGUGGACCACCAAAGGUAAAAGUGGGUCUAAUGCUAAAGGAGAGGGACAAUUUCUAGCUCCUUUCUUUCGGGGAUUUCCAGAGAGGAUAUUGCUAAAUAGAAGAUUAGGGAGGAAGAGGCAAGAGUCAUUAGACCCCUCUGCUUGUCUUGAGGGAGAAACCAAAACAGGCUGGAAGAGUCCAAAGCUUGUGUCCUGCUCAACAAGCUGAAGGAACCAUUUGAUUUUUCUCUCCUGGUAAGAAAGGAUGAGGAUGAUGUCUUUAGGGAAGAGAGCCAACCUGAUUUUUUGCUAGCCAUCUUGGUGUUAAUGGGACCGUGCAGUUCAUUUGGAGAAUACCCACAAAGCAUGAGUAGAGCCCCAAGAGGUGUAAUCUAAAUUAGUGGGUAAAUUUAUUUGUGCACUUUUUUUUUACUGUUUUAUUUUCCUUCUUCCCUUCUGUACCACCUCUUUUGCCACCUCCUCUGCCUCACUUGACAGAUGAAUGUGUUCAGGUCUUUGGGACAGAUAAUGUGUCUGUAUCCCUUUUAAAAGUCCUGUACAAACACUAUGGAUAUGAGAGUGCAGGUGUAUUUAGUCUGGUGUGUUUAGCAGAUUUAGAUUAUGAAUUACUGCUCAAAAUAACGUUUGCAUUUGCUGACAAAGGUCUUUAUUACAGAAGAGGUCAAGAAAAAAAGAUUAUUCCUGCUAAUUAUCCACUGCUAUUUAAUAUUUGCACAAAAGGUUUGCAAGACAGAGUCCUCAGCAUUGCUUUGUUUGAGAAGCUAAUAGGGUUUCUAGGAAACCAGCAGGGUCUGGAGGGCCAUCAGAUCAGCCUGUUAGUGGCUAUGAAGGACAAUUAGGCCUGAUGGAGUUACAGGGUGGUUGGCUAAAGGAUGGCAGUCCCUGAGCCAGGGCCUGAUGCUGGGGCAUUCAAAGUCAGUGGUAGAACUUCCACUCAGAGCUGUGCUUUAUGAGAAGCCAACUGGAGAGGAUCCAGUUUUCACACCCUGGGUAGGUCCAUGUCCUGGUUGAAAUGGAAGCUCCAUUUGCUCCUAUGCAGAGCAUCAGAAGGGAUUUGAGGGUGAACAGGUUUGACAGACAAACUGUUGGGAGGAAUAUUAGCAAUUAUUUUUUGGCCCUGGUCUUAGGUUUGUCCCUGUAUAUUAGCAGUCCUUGGAAAGUUCCCCCAAAGUCUAACAGCUGCCUUUGGCUUGGCCCCCACAUUUCUUGCAUUGGUUCAUAGUAGCCUGUAUCGUUCUACAAAUUCCUUAUUAAGUGAAUUGAAGUUCCCAUUCAUAAAGAUAUAAUUAACCAAUAAAUAUACCUGCAGAAAUUUCCAAACGUAGAUGUCUGAAGGUGAGAUCCAUGUUUAAGCUCCUAAAUACAUGGCCCAACUUUAAAAUCCCCACAUCCAUCUUCUUGCUUCAAGUGAAAUGGAAGCUUCCUACUAUUCAGUGCUCAGAUGGCUGUGGGGUACCAAAACACAGACCAAGGUGAUGUUUUGGCACACGGGUUUAUAGAGUGAUCAAAGUAGUGUGACAUCAUUGCACAACAACUGCAUCAGAUGAUAAAAUGCCAUGUACUCCCAUAUAACAUGUUGUAUGGAUGCAUACCGCUGUUCCCAUAUAUAUCCAGAACUCUUCUGGGAGGAUUUCUGGGACAACAAAUGCUUUCAGUAUUUCCUGCAGAGGAACAUGUGCCUGGGAUCUGUGUAGAUGCCAACAGCCAAAGCCUGGGAGCCCCAUUAAAAGAAAUCACCCUGAGCUGCUGCAGCAGGGUGGUGUGAAGGAGAACAUCCUCCUCCAACAGUUCAUGCACAGCUUCCCACUUAUGCAUUUUUCAGAACGAAUGCAGCAAAUAUACCUGAUCAGUGCUGAUACAACUGCUUCUCCUCCCCGACAUAUUUACACUAAGAGAUUGAUGAACCACAGGAAAAGAAGAAAAUAACAGAACAAACAACUUAUCUUCCCAGAAGCUCCCUAGAAACUUAUCUGUCAUCACUGCCCAGGCUGCAGCAAGAGGGGAUUUCAGCAUGGAAGGUAUUCUCAGUGUAUGCUGUUCACUCUGAGGGAACUUUUGACACCCAAGCAUUCUUUUCAGUGUGAGAAGCGAUUACUGCUUCCCAAAGGGGAGAGCUGGAGACCUGAGCCCUCAGCUCUGCACAUGCUCCUCAACCCCAACUUGUUCUCAGGAAAAAGUACCAGGUAUUUGCCUGAUCUAACGGAAUACAUGGAAAAAAAACAAACAACAACAACCAAACCACUAUUUGGAUUUCAGUAGGACUUCAGCAUAGACGCUUUGACACUUAAGGUGAGAAAAAUGAGCUACAGAGGAAAGCAUGGGUUUCCUUUUAGCUGAGGAGGGAUGCUCCUGCAGCUCCACUGCUCCUCAUGUCUUUGUCUUUAAAACACUCAGUGACAUAAAAAUUAGACGCACGUUAAACCUCAAAUCUAGCAAAUAGCUCCAUCUCUUAAAGCAUGUGAAUACUCCUGAUACUAUUAAGAACAUUUAACCGGUACCUGAGGGACUGGGGACCUGGAGUCAGGCGACCCAGUUUCCUACAUAAGAAAAGAGAGAAAUGUCUGCCUCCUCUAAUGCCAGGGGUUAUCCUGGGCCAGGUAUCUUUAAAAAGUAAAGAUGUGAGCAAUCUCAUAUCAGACUUAUGCAUCCAAAUGGCUCAUUAUACCAGCAGUAAUAGCUUGUGAUAGUCCUAUAGAUUUACAGUACUUAGGAAGAGAUGAUGCCCAACGUCCUUUCCCAACAAUCAUUAUGACAUGGGGAAAACCAGUGAUUUUCUUUAAGUCCAUUAGCAUAAUAUUUGUGCUUAUGAGGAUUAGACCAGCAGACACUUCACAGGUCUUUAGAAACAUAAGCCCAACACAUUCAAAUGGAGACUUUUUUUGGAACAAAGCUAUUAUCUCUCAAAUCACCCAAUAUUGCUGGCCAGUUUGGGGCAGCUGGGAAGCAGCAGGUGCUUCCACCCCAUUCCCUGCCUUGCCAGCCCCAGAAUUCCCAUUUCGUGAGCAGCUCAGCGCAUGGAACAAAACACAAGGAGGGAACUUCAGAUCAAAACGUUUAUUCUUCAUUGCAGCGGAUGAAACACAGGCACGAGGCUCCUGGGGGGGAGGUGUCUGAGCAAUCACACGUAAAACGUACAGCAUUUGCACUUGAAAUACACAGACCUGAAUCACAGCUGGGAUCAAUACAGGAGGACGAUAGAGAUUAUCAAUCUUGAGUGGUCUCCGUUACACAGAAUUGACUGGCAGCCACAUAAUGGCUCGGGCUCAGCCCACCAGUUUAGAGCCCGGGUGACAGAUCUGCAGACGCCAGCCAUCAGCAUCCCUCCUUGGCCCCUCUCACGUGCCCAUUUCUUCUGCUGUCCGGGUCAGCCUCCGAGGUGCGUCUGAGAGAUCAAUGCACAGCUACAGCUGGUUGAAGGGGACCAAAUCCAUUGAACAGUUGAUUUGGUUCCAUUUUACCAGCUUUAGCAAAGCAUUUGGCCUCACGCUCUGCAAAGCAAAGAGGGGAACUCCUCAGGGCCUUUUCCUUCACAGUCGCCAGGACCUCUUCUGAACUUGCUGCCUGACGUUGCACGGGUUCACAUGGCUUCGCUUUCAGGCAUUCAGGAUUUAUUUAAGCUUCUUAGCAGCUUUGGCUGAAGAGCGAGUCUGAAUUAAAGAGGCAGUUUUAAAAGCAGUGGAACAGUCUGCAGCACUCAGUGCCUGCCUGUAGCCUUUUAAACCCGGUGUUUGGCUCUGUUUUGAAGCUGCAUUGCUACCACAGUGUGACUGAGUAGUGUCCUAAUCCAGGUCAUUUAAUUGCCACCUCCAGCCUUCUUUCUUUCAGAUCUUUUGUCUGCUAUCCCCACCCGUGCCCUGCAUUCUGGUAACUCAAGUUUUCUCAUCUACCUUUAAAAUCAGUGCUUUCCAUGGCUUUCAGAUCUGUUGAAGACAAGCAAGGACUGUAUUUACCACCAUCGGGAGGGCGUUGAGUGGAAGAGAAAGCGGAGCAGCCCUGCAGCCUCCCAGCCCCAUCCUCUGCAAGGGCUCAGCCUGCAGCUCCCGGAGAGCCCCACGCUGUGAGCACCCACUGCUCCCAAUAACUCAGUAAAUCAGAUUUUUAAAUCACAGCAGCAGGAGCCAAUAAAGCCAGACCUCUCCUUCGUAACCCAGCGCCACGCGCAGAUAUUGCACAUCGCCACGUGCGUAACCUAUUUAAAGAAUUUACAUGCAUCGCGAGGCAAAGGUGACUUUUUCCCCCCUCUCCCUCACAGCCCACCGCACACACCACGACAUGACACCGAGAAAAAAGCACCUGUGCUGAAAGGCACUGCAUGCAGAGAUAUUGCAUGUGGGCCGGUAUUGCUGGUCCCCAAGAAAUCCAGGCUUUGCAUUGUAACAGUAAGUAGUGCAGAUCACUUAACUGCCCAGCCCCAGUACUGUAAGCUGCCUAUAAAUAAAUGCGGAGAGAGAGCGAAAGAGAGAGAGAACAUCUUUUUUAAAAGAGCUCUACAAUUAAUUUAAUCGAGUUAUCUCUAGGUACCUUUUCAAGAGACAAUCAAGCCAAGGAGCUAAAUGGAAACUUAGACAGUGAGGACCUAGAAGUAUUAAACUCAUCCUUUGGUGAGUUAUAGGAGGGAGGGAAGUAAUUAUUUACCAGAGAACGGGAGGAGGUGGAAGUGCCAGCAGUGACCGAUGCUGCACCGAGACUGCAAGCUAAACCCUGACGGGCAUAUGGAUUUUGGGAGGCAGAGCAAUGAACUGCCCGAACAUCAGCAUGGCGUGCUCCAGGUGCCCUUGUCCUGUCCCCAUCCCAUUGGUUUUGGCAGGAAGGGCGUUAAAACAAGCAUCUUCUGCUGGAGAUGAGUGCUGCUCUGUUCCCCUCGCUUUGCUUCAGGGAGUGCCCCGCAGCACAUCCGAAAUCAAUGCCAGCACGCGCCGACAUUCCGUAACGUUUUGUUUGAAUUCUCUGCAGUGAGUUAUGAGUGAGGUUUUCCUUUUUAGAAAAUUAGGUUUUCUCUUCUGGAUGCCAUUAAUCACGACUAACGAUGGCUCUGGCGGCGAGGCUUUCCCAGAACUGAGGAAAAGCAUCCCCACACCUCUGCUGCAGGGCUGCAGCACAUGGGGCUCACAGCCCCCACACACCUGGGCCCGGCCAGCAGUGCAGCAAGAGGAACUGCAGAGGCUUUGCUGGAUGUGUUCAAAGGUGUGAGCUGUGCUGAAACCCAGUCAGACCAGGCUUUGGUGUCACUUACCCUUCCUAUUGCCCUCCCAGGUUCAAGGACCGGGCGACCCAGCGCCACCAAAUUUAGGUUUGCUGUCUGAAGGUCAUCCUCAUCCAGUUGUUUCCUCCCAGCAGUGCUUGGAAUUGGGUCUCACUGGGAAGGUCCUUUCUGGUCGCUCUGUCCCUAGGACCCUGCCCAUGGGACCGACACCGCCCCAGCCAGGAAUGGCCACAUAGUGGAAUGGCACUGGGGAGAUAUAGGAACACAUCUCUGAAGCAAAUCCAAGGCAAAAUAGCAAAAUAAAGCUGUGCAUCUCAUUCCCCUCUCUGCCAGUCACUGUGUAAUGCCUCGGUUUUGCUUUUGGUCUAAGUGUCAGCUUUGCAGUUCAUGAUUACACUUCUGAGAGCAGCCAGAUCCCUGUGUUAUCAAAGCACUGCCAUGGCAAGUGGGGCCAAAAGUGGGCAACAUAAGAGAACCUGGGGCAAUGAAGACCUUUGUGCUUUAGCCUCAACAUUCUAAUGAAGAUGUUUUAUAUAGACAGCACAGAAUAGCCAAAGAAUUUAUCAACAUUUGUCGAUAUUCCUAAUGAAGCAGAAGAUUCAACAUGCAAUAGAAUUAGCCUACAAGGAACCCUUGUGUAGGGCCCAUCCUUCUGAGUCCAGAAAUCUCCUGCUUAUUCCAGUCCAAUACCCUUUUGAGAAAUGAACAUCUCUUGAAAUCAUUAUCAUUAUAAGCUAAAAGGCCAAAUGAGACAAAGUACUGUUGCUCUUCAUCUGAAUAAACAAAUCAUUUUUAGAUCAAAUGCAUUAACAAUUUAUCAUGCUAAAAUCCAAUCAAAAGGAAAAAACAACAAUACAGAACAUUGAUUUCUUACAGCUUUAUCUUAAUGAAGUGCACAUUCCCUCUGUAAUUAGCUUUGGAAGGUUUUUUUCCCUUUCCUCAAGUUAAUGUGUUAUUUGAUUUCCAUCCAAAUGUCACUAAAUCUGAGGAAUUUUCCCCAAAAUGAAGUGGCUUUUGAUAAUACAGGAAAACGUCUGCUCUCUCAUUUGGCUAUUUUUCCCCCAAACAGCCAUACUUGUACUGCAGAUGAUUCAACUUUAUUGCAUGGUGUCUUUGCGAGGAUGUUUAAAUCAAUGCCACAGUUGCUGUAUUCUGCACAAUGUGCCAUUUGUAAGCCAGAAAAUACAACCUCGGUGCUUUUAUCCUUUUUCUUACAGACAUAAAAUAUUAAUUUAAUUUAUAUUAUUACAGGGGAAAAAGUGGACUGUGUUUUAUUAACAUUUCUAAAAUUAUAGGUAUUCAACCCAAAAAAUAUGCUUCAGCCAAGGCUGGGAAGUCUUCCGCUUGGAUUUUAUUUGACUUAAUUAAAAAGCACUCAGUUCCUAUGGGCACUAAAGGAGCUGCUGACAGUGCAGUAGCCACUCAGUCUUUCAAAACUAUUACCUGAACUUAAUAAAGUGUCUAUUUAGUUUAUACACCUCCAUGAUCCCACCUGUCUCCCACCAACAUGAUGCAAUUCUUGCUAAUGGCUGGAGAAGGCAGCGGGUUGAUGGCAGCCCACAGGCACCCCAGGCAGAACAAUUCCCAUAUCCUAUUGCCUGCCCUAUCUACCUUUAAUCACAGGGUCACAGAAUGGCUUGAUUUGGAAGAGACCUUUAAAGCCCAUCUGGUCCAACCCCCCGCAAUGAGCAGGGAAACCCACAGCUCCAUCAGUGCUCAGAGCCCCUCCAGCCUGACCUUGGGUGUCUCCAGGGAUGGGGCACCUCUCUGGGCAACCUGUGCCAGUGCUUCACCGCCCUCAGCAUAAAAACCUUCUUCCUCAUAUGCCAAUAUCCGAAGCGUUCAAAUCUCCACCAUGCUUGUAAUGAUCAAUGCUAGGAAAGCUUUUUCCCGGCUGCCUCUCUGCUCCUCCACUACAUAUCUCAUUUAAAUCUUUUCUUCUUUAAAUGAUGCUGAACAGAGGACUAUUGCUUUCAUCCUGCUUCACUGAGUAUUUGCUGAAAUGCAGUGGCUAAUUUGAUAGUCCGGUUUUAUUUGGACGUACUGUCGAGACAGAGAGCAAGAUCUAUAACAGAGAAUAUAACCCCAAAUCCUACCAAUUACCAGCUUAUUCCUUAGUUAUACAGGAGACCACAAGUGACCUUAUCAAAAUCUUGACUCUCAAUAUGAACAUCUUCGUCUUAAUCCAAAUUUCACCCUGGAGCUGAAGGUCCUGCUUCAUACACAGCCUAAGAACUGCGGAGCAUCCAUUGCAGCAGGGAGCCCACCCCUGGGACAGGGCUGCCCGCCGAGAGCUGCAGCUCCUGGAACUGGCAGCAGAAAUAGUUUGGAGUUUGGAUUUUUAAACUCACACACUCAAAGAGAACAAAGCUGUUCCCUAAUACACUUUGUGCAUUUUAUGGACCGAACAAUUAAAGAGGUUUUAAAACAUCUGCUGACUGCAUAAUUCCAUACAGGGGAGUGUACUCAGCAUUUUUAAACAACAACGGGUACGAGAUACCACUUAACAGUACAAAACACCAUCAGUCCCGUUAAAAUCAAUAGAAAAUUAGAUGCUAUGAAAAUGCAAUAUGUGUCCAAUUAGUUAUAAUUGGAGCAAAUGGUGAUGCAGAUAAACUCCUGGAGUAAGAUGCAUUUGUCCGGCCCGCUCCCUGCCUGCUUUCGGCACAGCACGGUAUCGGCAGUGGCAGGCUCUGCUGUGCCCCAUAGCAUGAAGGAUGAUCCCUCUAAUACACGUAUGUUAACUGUUAUCUAAUUAUGGAGCUGCUCUGAGCCUGCAGGACUGUUUCGGUGCCCCACCGUGCGCGGUGAAAAAUGAUCCUCUGUCACACGGAAACCUCCCUGUUGUACUUGACAAAUUAUGCCAGCAAACCUGUUUAAGAACUAAAAAAUCCUUGGACGCGGUGACAGGCCAAGAAAUAUGUUGUUUGGGGACAGAUAUUUAUUUAUUUAUCUGGCAGAGGUUAAGAGCCACCACUCGGUUCACUUCUCCCCUGCCUGUCUCCGUUCUGGCAGCUCAAAAUCCGUCUCACCGAUUGUUUCGCCGGUUUCUUUCAACUCAUAAAAACUCCAUUGCAAGGCAAAACAGGAACUAGGUUAUGCGAUGCCAGCGCUUUAUUUUUAACAUCUCCCCUGCAACACGUUGGCCUCCUCUUGGUUUAAUCUUACAACUAAAGGAAUAAGAGCGACGGUUCCGCACAUCCCCAACCGAGUAUUGCCGCCGGCCGCGCUGCCAACCCUCCGUGCCCUUGCAGGGUAUGGAAAUGUGAAACUACUCACGUUGCUCUCAGUACAACCCAUAUUAACUUUGGGGGGUAUUUUUUUCAUAUAUUUGUCUAUAAAGUAGAGAUUACUUUACACAAACAAUUAGCUCAGAGGUAAGAAGCUAUAACUACCGGCAGGGCUCUUAUUUUAUUCCUGUUUUCUGUUAAUAUUAUUAUUCUAAUCAGCAGUAAGGACUGGUGGGUGCAAAGAAAAGCUCCUGUUUGCCCGGCCCUGAAACCUCCUUGUGUUAUUGCUGCUGUUACUUACACGGGAAAGGGAACUGUCUCUUGAGGAAGGGAAAAAAAUGGAGGUGGCAGCUUUUAUUUGUUAAGCUGACUCAGCUGGACAGUGGAACAAGAAAUGUUCAGAUCCAAUCCAUAACUUUUGUGGCCGCUCUAAGGACGUAUUCUUCCUCGACACUGAUAAAAGUUUAAUAUGGAGUUGCCCAGGUUUUUAAUAAACUUGUCAACAAAAGAGCAAGGCAAAUUGAUGGGGACCUUCCCAGGAAUAAAUUCCACUUCAAAUAGGCCAAAUGAGUGUGGAGGACAGAGAGGGGAAGGUACACGGGCAGCUUCUGCUGUUCUUUGCAAAAAUGGCACAAUGGAUUUUAGUGGGUGCGUAUGUGUGUGCGUCUUAUUAUCUCUGAGACAAGGCUUUAGGACAAAGCUUAAAUUAAAGAACACAACCUGGUGUGGCUCAGAGCCCUGACACGGCAAGGAAGGGAAGGGACAAAGCUCCGGCACUGAUUUAGCGGUGAAGCCAUUCCCCACUAAGGAACUGCCAUCUCACCCUGCGAGUAGUGCCGCAUCUCCCAGUGCACCUGAAGGCUCCAGGCAUCUCCUACCCAGACUGUGGUCACUUUGGGACCAUCCCCAACACACUCUGCAACAACCUUUACUCAUACGCUGAGUAUCACCUGUGCCCACCCAUGCAUCACCUGCCCGCCAGCAGACCCUCUCUACUCUGACCUGUGAUGCCAACAGAGUUUUAUCCCACAUCCCCCACUACGCACAUCACAUUUCAGCUACUGCCUGCGCGUUUAUCUCCACUCAGUCAAACCAAUCCCAUUCACUGCUCAAUUUUUUUACUUCCAUACAUCAUGAGCUGCCUCCAGGCACCACACCGCCCCUUCCCAUGGCAUUGACUGCAGGCAUGGCAGGAGGGGCACACACUGCAUGCUCUGCAAGCUUGGGAUGGAAAUCUCUGCACGAGAUGCAUUAUUUUCUAUUAGCCUCCAUCAAGCUGGUGCCUUAAAUUAUUAAGCUUUGUUGUGGUGUUGGUUUGUUUUUUUUUUUAAUUUGUUGACCUGAAGUAAACACAAGUAUUAAAUCAGAUUCCAAUAAUCUCACUGACAGUAAAUUAACUCAUUGUGUCCUAGAGGGGGACGCAACCGCAUCUUGGCCACUCUGAGCAAUGCUUCACCAUCCCUGCAGAUUCCACAUGCAUGCAAUGGGGUAAAAAGCAGAAGGCCAGAUCCUGCCUCCAACCUUGGGCCAUGUCCCAGAUUGGAAGCUCUGCCUGGAUGCCGCGAUGAAAUUUAUUCCUGAUCAUUCUUAGGUCACCGGAUUCCUGCUCCGGUAGCUUUACCCGACCCCCCAAAUGCCAGGGUCGACGUGCCUAUGUAAGGGCUUUGCAGGGACGGCUCCUGCCCUCACAGCUGCUUGGGGACUUCUGCAGCCGGUGGUCACGAGCCCCUGGCUGCCCAGAUGCCACCUAAUCCGGCCCGGCAGAGGGGCAGCUGAGAAUGAGCACUAUUUAUACCAGCUGCUGCUGGUCCCGCUGGGCUGCCUGUGGCUUUUUUAGCUAGCAGCUCCCAUCCCAGCGCAGGCCAUAUCUGGACAUGGCACAGGCAGAGUGCUGUGCUUCGAGAAGAGAAGAAAGAAAAAAAAAAGAGGGAAAAAAGGAAAAGCUGCAUCUGUUUUAAGAUGUCAGGCACCCUGUUUCCAUCAAAGCAUCCUGAGCACCACCAAAACUGCUCCAACUGCUAAAAGCUUCACUAUAAACUUGCCUCUUAUUCCAAGUGUGUCUGUCCUCUGACAACCUUCCACCCGUGCACAUGGCUAUUGGCCUCUGUUCCUUCAUACAGACCUCUAUGCAAGAAAUGCAAGCUCAAAGCAAGGGUGAAUGCUGACACUGCUUACACAGUGUGAGCAGAAUCUCCUUUGGAGAAUUACAGGGUGUCAGAGGAGGCAGGCGGCUUGGAGCUCUGCCUGUUGAGGAGGCUGCACAAGACUUUGCAUUUUGGCCAUUACACACUCAGAAUGAGCUUGUUCUUGGGUAAUUGCACCAAGACCUUCUCCAGUCCUAUCCCUGCAAUGGCUUCAGCAUCUCUACAUGAGCAGCCCCCUCCCUCUGGGGGAAUGCAAGGCAGGGGAGCAGCAUAGCUGCCUGCAGCCCAGCAAGCAGGCGGUGCAAUGAGCUGCACUCGCCAUGACCCUGCAUCCCAACAGGGAAGCAUCUUGCUGCAUGAUGGCUUCAGGUCAAGAGCAACUUCAGCAGAAAGCGCUAAACUGAGCGCCUUCACUGGGAGGGAAUCGCUGAAAUCAGCGCCCGGCUUUCAGGGGAGGGAUGCGAGCUCCGGAGCGAGGAUAUUUCUCUUGCAAGGAACACACCACCCCCUCGCCCACAGCCACCGUGAAGUGCAAGAUGUGGUGAAACUCUUUAAAAAUAGAUAUAUUCCCAAGCAAUACAUGCCGCUCGCAUCUGGCAGGGCAAACCUAGCAUGGAAGCUCUUGCUUACAGACUAAAAAGCCUCGGAGCAGCUCAAGGCUCCUGCAACCUUGUCUCUCUCCUCGAUUCUUCAGAGCCCGCUCUUGUUCUUGGCCUAACCCAGUCCUGGGAAGCACAAGGGAAGCCCUGCCCAGCUAGGCUGGUGUCAAAGGCAGGGAAAGAUACUGCAGUGCAGUGCUGAUCUCUUCUGCAAUCGGACGUGCAGACUAGCCCGAAUGCUGAGUCAGCACAAUUUCUUUUUUGAUUGGUUGAUCCGAGUAACAUACUUUCAAUGUAUGCUAAAGGGGCAGCAAUUAAUAUGUUUUCCCCCCGUUCUCCACCUUUCCAAACCUCCUCAAAUCAAACACACAAAUCUCACCCCCAAAGUCACUCUCUGGUCCUAAAUAUUCUGAGGCUCUUUCAUUUUUAAUUUAGGGCAUUAAAAAAAAAAAAAUUUGCAAUCUAAGCGAUGCUCACUUUGAUCGACUUGUGCUGCAGCAGCUAAAAUAUCUGUCCUGCAGGUCAAUCUAAUCAUGCUUAAUAGCAGUUUAUUCUUCAACGCAACAUUUUUCACAUUGGGUCGACAGUUUUAAAUGAGAUUGCUGAUGCACCCCUUUACUAAUGCUUUCACCAGGGCCAGCACAUCCCUUGAAAUACUCGUGCAAUAAAAUGAAUGCUUUAUUGCUCUUGAUGAAUGCACUAUUAAACUUGAAUUGCAAAUAUGCCCCCCCCCCCCUUUUUUUUUUUUUUUUUACAAAAGAAGAGUGCUGGGAUUUAUUGGACCACCUGUCUUCCAGUAUUAAGUAAUAGCAACAAAAGUAAUAAUAGCUCAUCAACAUAAACACAUGAAAGGGAAAAAAAUAAUUCAGGGGAAAACACACAGCACGAAUUCAUCCCCGUGCUCCCAUGCGCGUGUGCAAAAUUCCCAUUCUAUACCUGCCCGUAGUUCCUCUUAUGUGCAGAAAAUUCAUCUCAAGAACGGAUGGGUUUUGUGAGGCAUAGAAUAGGAAAACGUAACUAAUUUGGUCCACUGGAUUUAUGGCUUUUACAGUCCUCAGAGCUCCCGUUUCUGCUGGUGGGACCGCUCAGUGCGCGCUUUGCGGGACGGAUGGGCACAGCCGAGCAUCGCGCCUCGCUUCAGCACAGAACCUGCAGCUCUGCUCUAUGGAGAGCGAAGGAGAAGAGGCUUUCUUCAAGCUAAGAAAUAGGGAGGACCUAGUGUGGAGGAACAGUCACAGUUUUAAUCCAAACAAGAAGAAAAGCGAGAAGGAGCUGGAGCUAAGAGUAAGAAUGGCGCAAACUGGUGGACGAUGCUAAUGACUAAAGGGCUGACGUGGUUUUGGGGUCUUUACAGCAUUUCUAUUUAUUUUUUGGCAUUGCCACACUGCACCAGAGAUGGGGUAGGGUCUCAGGAUGUGUUCUGCACCCACACACCUCCACCACGUGGCUCCCACACCGUGAGACAGAGCUGAGUUAUGGUUUUGAAAAUAUUUACAUAAAAAUAAAUCUGAACACUUAGUGACUUCCUAAAGUUAGCAAUUCCGUGUGAUUAACAAGCAUAUUAAUUCAGAGAGGGGGAAGGAGAUAAAAAUUGCAUUAGGGAUGCAGGUAUCUGUUGUAAAUCAGACCAUGAGCACCUUCGCUAGAGAUAUGCACAGUGAUGUGGAAGGCUCAGUAACACCCGCGCUGAGAAUGCAGAGAAAGAGAAGAAAACAAGAAAAAGAAAGAGCAAGACAAUGAGAGAAUGAAAGAAAAGAGAAAAAAAAAAAGAAAAUAAAGAAGAGAAAAAUAUAAGAGCGGAGUUGAAAGCAAGAAAGCAAGCUAGAAAUAAGGAGAAAAUGAGAAGCACACAAGUAGAAGACAAGGAAAGAAGGAAGGAGAGGAAAGCAGUGAGGAAAAGGGAAUCGAGAAGAGGUAGGGUAAAAGGUCACCUGGGAGAGGAGGGAAAUUGCUAUUGUGGCCAGAAUGGUGAGAAUCAUCCCCAUUUUUCACACAGCAAGUCAAGCUCCCAGCAGUGAUGUACAAGUGAGAGAAAUUGCAGCCCUGUUUGGCCAUGGGAACUCUGCUGCUCCGUCUCUAUUCAUUUCCCAGCACCUUUGUAUUUAAUUGUGGCCCCAAACUGGGGCAGGACACCCUCAGUGGCUGGGACCCAUCCCUGUCCAGGGGACAAUGCCUCUCCUCAAAGCACCUGGCAAAGCAGAGGUCCCUCCUCCCCCAAGCAGAGGUUGAGCACUCCAUGUGUGUCCACCACUUGUAUCAUCUUUCUAAAAAAAGAAAGAUUUAUAAAACUUACAGAAUUCUGUACAUUGGAAAUCUCCUUAAGAGCCCAGCCCUCCUUACUUAACCUGCUAUUCACAAGUGCCUGCUUUCCGUUAAACCCCAUUUGGUGUACGUGUAACAAGUGGCAGCAGUGCUUGCCAUGAAUCACAACAAACUGAGGCUCAGCAAAGGCCUUCAGAGCACUUUUGCCAAGCACAGAGAUGUGCUGAAACCAGAGGGAACUUGCUCCAGAGCAGAACACUGCUGUGCCCUCGGCUGCACGGCGGGGUGAUGGGGAUAAGUUUGGGAGUAGGUGGGAUGGAGAAAUGCAGUGCCUAACAGCCCAGAUAUGUGCAUCUCAUAAGCUUGAGGAAAAUGGGGGCUGAAAGCUUCACCCGCCCCUACCCAGACAGAAAGUUCUGAUUGUUCGCACAGAACGUUACACCCAUUUGUAUCAUUGCAUCUCACUGCCGUGGGAUGCUGGGAGAAUAACCAGGUGUUUUACGAUGAGAAAGGUUAAAAAGGAAAACCAGAACACCAGGAAAGCUUCUCAAAUUCAAGGUGCUAUUUUCCUUAUUUCCCUCUAAUAACCCUCUAAUAACACACACUGGGAGCGCUCACUGCCUCUGGCUGGGAGCUGGGCACCCACUGGCCAUGUCCAAGGGCCAACACACGCACAGUGAACAUUGCUUCCUCUCCAGCAUUAAGCACAAAAAGUUUUAACACAGGAAACAUCCCAAAAGCUGUCUGCGUAUUUACGUGAAGCCAAAAUACUGCACCUCCAAGUCACAACUCCUUCCCUUCUUCUCCCCGCCUCCAACUCCUUUCCUUUUCCCUAGGAUUAAGGACCAGCUCUUUUACCCAGCCUUAUUUUUGGGAAAAAGGGCCGAGGGGGAAGCAGCAAUCCGGAGGGACUGGUCUGUAUCCCCGCUGAAAACCAGGAGUGGACAGCCAGCUUUCCUCUGGCAUCGCCUUUCAAAGCCCAUGCCGCAGUCAGCAUAUUGAAUAUUUAAUGUCCUGAUGAGCAUUUCCACCUGCUGACACAGGCAAAGUGACAGAACAAUACACGCACUGGAACAAGAUCACCAAUUGACUCCCCAGCCAGUCUGCCAUGUCAGGCAUCUCAAAAAAAAAAGACAAAAAUCUGUCUGUCUUCCUCCCCCCCCCCCCCUUCACACGGGGUCAUACAUUGCUCCUCCGAGAAGAG